GUGGGGAAUAUUGGACAAUGGGCGAAAGCCUGAUCCAGCCAUGCCGCGUGUGUGAAGAAGGUCUUCGGAUUGUAAAGCACUUUAAGUUGGGAGGAAGGGCAGUAAGUUAAUACCUUGCUGUUUUGACGUUACCGACAGAAUAAGCACCGGCUAACUUCGUGCCAGCAGCCGCGGUAAUACGAAGGGUGCAAGCGUUAAUCGGAAUUACUGGGCGUAAAGCGCGCGUAGGUGGUUUUGUAAGUUGGAGGUGAAAUCCCCGGGCUCAACCUGGGAACUGCCUCCAAAACUGCAUGACUAGAGUACGGUAGAGGGUAGUGGAAUUUCCUGUGUAGCAGUGAAAUGCGUAGAUAUAGGAAGGAACACCAGUGGCGAAGGCGACUACCUGGACUGAUACUGACACUGAGGUGCGAAAGCGUGGGGAGCAAACAGGAUUAGAUACCCUAGUAGUCC
Molecule: ribosomal RNA, 450 nt
Filed under: uncultured bacterium
Lineage: Bacteria
Description: partial 16S ribosomal RNA
Rfam family: Bacterial small subunit ribosomal RNA
Source: RNAcentral